UGGUUCGAAGCAUUGGCAAAAUACAUAGUCUAAUUUUGCUGUGGUGUCUAAACGCAGUAACGUAAAAUCUAACUAGACUAGUCUCUAGCACCCUGCUCUUCGGGUCACUAAGGCGAAACACAAAGAGUGAGCUAAGCAUGUAGAAGUCAGGUUGAAGAACUAACGGACGCGGGUUCAAUUCCCGCCGCCUCCACCA
RNAcentral lists this transfer-messenger RNA (196 nucleotides) under Gammaproteobacteria bacterium. Its description in RNAcentral is "partial transfer-messenger RNA". It matches the Rfam family "transfer-messenger RNA", at positions 170 to 374 of the family's 374-position model. From Rfam's summary of the family: Bacterial tmRNA, also known as 10Sa RNA or SsrA, is named for its dual tRNA and mRNA-like properties. Its role is to liberate the mRNA from a stalled ribosome. Lineage: Bacteria; Pseudomonadati; Pseudomonadota; Gammaproteobacteria. The record is from RNAcentral.